RNAcentral lists this ribosomal RNA (465 nucleotides) under uncultured bacterium. RNAcentral describes it as "bacterial SSU rRNA". It matches the Rfam family "Bacterial small subunit ribosomal RNA", at positions 28 to 507 of the family's 1533-position model. The record is from RNAcentral.
GACGAACGCUGGCGGCGUGCUAACACAUGCAAGGUCAACGGGGUUGAGUGCUUCGGUAUUCAACUUAGUGGCGAACGGGUGAGUAACGCGUGAAGAACCUGCCUUUCAGUGGGGGACAACAGUUGGAAACGACUGCUAAUACCGCAUGACACUGAUGAGGGGCAUCCCUUAUCAGUCAAAGCUUAAUGUGCUGAAAGAUGGCUUCGCGUCUGAUUAGCUAGAUGGCGGGGUAACGGCCCACCAUGGCGACGAUCAGUAGCCGGUCUGAGAGGAUGAACGGCCACAUUGGGACUGAGAUACGGCCCAGACUCCUACGGGAGGCAGCAGUGGGGAAUAUUGGGCAAUGGGGGAAACCCUGACCCAGCAACGCCGCGUGAAGGAAGAAGGCCUUCGGGUUGUAAACUUCUUUUACCAGGGACGAAGGACGUGACGGUACCUGGAGAAAAAGCAACGGCUAACUACGUG